GAUCAUGGCUCAGAUUGAACGCUGGCGGCAUGCUUUACACAUGCAAGUCGGACGGCAGCACAGAGAAGCUUGCUUCUUGGGUGGCGAGUGGCGAACGGGUGAGUAACAUAUCAGAACGUACCGAGUAAUGGGGGAUAACUAAUCGAAAGAUUAGCUAAUACCGCAUAUUCUCUGAGGAGGGAAAGGACAGGGGACCGUCGGGCCGUUCGCGUAUUCGUAGCGGCCGGACUAU
RNAcentral lists this ribosomal RNA (232 nucleotides) under uncultured bacterium. RNAcentral describes it as "partial 16S ribosomal RNA". It matches the Rfam family "Bacterial small subunit ribosomal RNA", at positions 15 to 241 of the family's 1533-position model. The record is from RNAcentral.